GGGAGGUUGGCCUAGGGGUGGGUGGGUGGGGAUGUUAGCGAAGGCUAGACGGCGGCUUUGGGAUCUGGGGCGGCGGCGGCGGCGGCUACCCUAGGGGUUGCCACCGGGGGCGCGGGGAGGACGGGCGGCGUCAGGGCCUGCCGCCGCUCCGCCUGCGGUUGCCGCUCGUGCUCGCCGACGUCGUCGACGUCUAGCAGGGGAGGAGGCGGGGGCGGCGGCGGCGGGGGAGGUUCGGCGGGCUCGGCCGCGGCUGCCACCGGUGGGUGUGCGCGUGGUAGCCGUAGUAGGUGGGCGGCGGGCUGUAGGCGCAGUAGUAGCUCUUCUGCCGGUGGAAGCAGCGGUUCUUGCCCGGGCUCAAGCUCGCGGCGUAGCAGCGGGUGUUGGUCCCGUUGCGGUUCAAGUUGAAGGAGGUCGGGAGGCUGGGGAUGGUGCGCAUGAUGGUCGUGGCGCAGAGGCUCUAGCGGCUGCGCGGCGGGCGGGGGCUGCGGCGGCGGCGGCGGCUGGGGCUGCGGGAGGGGAGGCUGCUGAGGCGGCGGCUGCCGCGGGGGCGGCUGGUGAGGCGCGGGAAGGCGCAGCCGGGCGGGCGGUUCCACGAGCACGGCGGGUUCCGGCUCGAGAUGUGGCACGCGGAGGGGCUCCCGUAGUGGUGGCUCCUCCACCUGUAGCAGUUCGAGUGCCGCGUCAAGCAGCGGGCGUUGCCGUUCUGGAAGGAGCGGUCGGAGCGCAGGGCCCUCUCGUGGUUGGGCGUCAAGUUGAAGGAGGCGGGGUGGGUGUCGUACAAGGGGAAGAAGUGGCGCGAGCGGCUGUAGAUGAGCUCCCACUACUCCGGGCUGCUCCCGCACCGGUGGGACUACUCCCUCGAGUUCCUCCCCUGGUUCCUGGAGUGGUGCCACGACCUCGCGACGGAGUUGGCCGAGCUCACCCUGGCCAGCGUCCUCGUCCGGUUCGUCGUCCGCCUCCUACUCCAGCUCUACCUCUCCUACGUCUACAGGUACUAACUAACCGUACUAAAGCAGCAACAGCUCUGAUAACUCAAACUACUACUACUCAAGCUCCCGGAGGGACACGGCGGAUGCGACCUUCUCAACUUCGCGGCCUUCUCCUACCUCUGUAACCCUCUCCUCCUUGGGUACCUCAACCGACUUGGUCGGUUCCUACAACUCUACCUCUACCUACUCCUCCUCUACGUUGAACAGCUCCUUCCUUACUUCCGUCGUUCCGAGCUACUCUUACUACCUCCUCGUGUUCAAUUCCACCGGUCAUUACUACUACUCGGCGGAUACUCUUAACAGUUUUUGAUAUUCUCCGGACUCCUCUCCUAGGGACGCCUCUCCCUGGGCUGGUUCCAACAACAGAGUGGUUAUUGGCCCCUCGAGUAAGGCUAGUCGCUCUACCUCCUUGUGUACGCGUAGAGCGAGUAACUGGGGUUCAUGUUCCUUGUCUUUCUUUCUUACGACCGGUUCUAAUUCCUUUGGUGAGAACGAGGACUACUACUCUAGAGGGCAUUGUAAUAACCAGAACGUGCAUGUUCCGGUCUAUAAAAACCUUGGUGGCUCCUUCUCCAAAGAUUACGGCAGUUCCGUCUUUAACUUUUCUUUUUCCUACUCGUCGGUUUCGUCCAAUAAACCCUACCAGUAAGACCCUCGUAGCCAACCUGUCGGUGAGUCCGUUACAGACAGCCACCUCUUCUUGUCCCACUACGGAGUUUACGAGGACCAGGUCGAGGUGAAGGGGCCGGACCGUACGACAACGGGGCCGGAGGGGUUGGUGAAAGGAACCAGUUACAAGGGGCUAAAUGUGGGUUAGGUUACGGAAUAGUACAGGUUGGGGGGGUAGUAUACGUUCAUCAAGGUGGUGUAUACUACAGGUUGUACGUGGUUGGAGACGGUGGUCCAGUUGUUGUGUACUAAUCCUACAGUCCAGGAUACCCAGUAUACGGUUCAUUAUAGGGAGGUGGCGGAGGUCCGGUAUUAUGAGUCAAGUACGGACCAGGUGGUGCCAAGCGAUACGGGGGAGGGGGCGUGUACGUCUUGUACGGUUGGUACCAGUUGGGGUAGCCUUAAGGGGUCGGAGGUGGUGGAAACGGAGGUGUUGGUGGACGCCUCCUCGUCGGUGGAGAUGGACUCCUUGGUCUUGGAUUCUCCGUCUCUUGUCUACUACGUAGAGACUAGGGUCGACUCGUCAAGGAACGGGUCGUAGGCCCGGGACGAGCGUAGAGUCAAAGACACGGGUUGGAACUACUUCCUUUGAACGCUCCGGUUCAAAACCUCUAGAGACAGGUUAGUGAGAGACUGUGUCAGCCGUCAGAAUUCCUCGUCUAACGACCUCUCGACGUCGAAGGACGAUUAUUCGUCUUCGACUCACACUCCUGAUCAAAGGAGUUCCUGUUAGAAAGAGAACGAAUAAUGUUACAACCGGGACCCCACCGGUAGUUAGAUCGAGACUCCCUCGCACCACCCUCUUUCUUUACUCGAAAAGAAUAGAGUCAAAUGAGUGUCCUGUUACGAAUGUUGGUUCGAAGUCACCGAUAGUACCUCUAAUAAAAACAACCAACGACGGAAGACCUAAGAACAUAAUACACAAAAUAUUCAGGUCGUGAUACUAAACGUAACAUCAAAAGCCUGAACAGAUACGAAGAAUUAUACCGAUGUAUAACAACCUCUACAAAUAGGAAAAAUAAUGAAAACACAAUGAGUUCUUUCGAUUGCUACGGAUGGACGGAUGAACUAUCACGAGGUCUCAAGUCCACGGGCGUAACCGAGAUGGCAAACGGAAGAUUCCACAAGACUAUAGAACUUUUACGUGUUACGAAAAGGGGUACAACCUUACAAGACCCUACAAGAGAAUAUACAUAGAAAACACAAUAACAUCUACGAAGACGUGACGUAGUCAUUUCCAUGACAGAGAAGUUCACGAAUAAUACUUUCCAGACACCUUUCGGAUAAUAACGUCAAGAUUAAUUUAAUCUCAAUACCCACUACCGACUACAAGUUUUAGAACAACUGUCUUAUCGUACCGUAGAUAGUCUCUAGUGACGACGACCUUAGAACAUUGUUCAUAUCAUCACGUAACGAAUAACACUUGAAUUAAUACGUACGUCACUCAUCCCUACUCAUACCAACGAGAACGACGAUUUUUCCGUCCGACACGGGAAACAACACCAACGAUCGCCAGUAUUCAACUAAAGACAUCCAAUACGUAAAUAAAAGUACAAAUAACGCUACAAAAGUAGGAUUCACUGAUUUUUUUAGUGUUAUCUACGAAAGGUCAAUAAGACUUCCACCGUACACAAACCAGUUGUAUCCGUAUAUACCAACAAACCCAUGACUAUUACUAACACACAAAAAAAGACAACAAUUGGCUGAACAAGGUAACAGUUAUCAUUUACUUCCCGUUUUCAUCCGUGUUUAUUCAAUACCACGCUGUGACACAAACGGUACAGUGUCUUCACAGUAAUACUAACACAGAGUUGGUUUGUAAAAGUGAAGUACUUCGGAAAGGGUUGGGAUUAUUUAUAGACUCAACCACCAGCAGACAAGCGGGGAAUGGGUAGGGGCAAACUUGAAGUUUGGAUUGUUGGAAAAGUACGGUUUCGAGUAGCUUAGAACUCUCGCUUCCGAUGGUCCCAAGCAGGUCAGAUAUCUGGAACGUGGUUAAAUGGAGCGUAAAUUAUCGUCAAGGAAACAAGUAUCAGAUAUUAACCAUUUACUUGUGCGGUCUCACUUAUAGUAAACUCAUUUGAUACAAGAUAUACCCAAAAAAAAAACGAAACCAUCACAUCAUGAGGGGGGCAAGGAUUUAUAAACAGAAAGAUCUAUAAAGUUGUUCACUGAUGUAUGCCUUGUUUUACUCACUUAGAUGUGAAAUUUUAUAUAGAUAUAUGUAGGCAUACACCAUCAGGUAAACUUUAGAGAUUUUUCUGUUUAUAAAUCCUUGCCUCCCUCAUGUACGUAGAAUUGAUCAAGUUUAUAUUUUACACAACACUUGAACCAGUAAAUGAUAACAGGUGUUUAUAAGACUAGUAGAGUCAACAGUCCUACGCUGAAACUAUGAACGUCCAAAAUAUCAGACGCAACACGUAACGCGAAUAGAGUUUCACAUACCACGCUCGUAUUCUAAUCCGUGUUGACCUCUUUCUAAUCUGUGUAGUACAAACGAGAAGAAAAAAGAUCAAAUUAAUUACGUAACUUCUCUUUCUAAAGAAUCGUAUAGUUGAUCUAAUCUGUUUUGACCUAAAACAUAAGAGGUCAACAACAAUUGAUUCAGGACGAGACCACUCAUUAUUAUUGGGACACCCGAAAUACUGACGGCUCUAAAGUCAAUUUAGUGGUCAUCUUCCGAAAUACGGAACGCUCGAUACUCAUAGGGAAAAUAAGUAUUACAUCUACGAAUAUUUCUCUUUAUCAACAAAUGAUAAACUAAAAAGUGUGUAG
RNAcentral lists this ribosomal RNA (4433 nucleotides) under Triticum aestivum (bread wheat). RNAcentral's name for it is "partial small subunit ribosomal RNA". Lineage: Eukaryota; Viridiplantae; Streptophyta; Magnoliopsida; Poales; Poaceae. The record is from RNAcentral.